Molecule: ribosomal RNA, 1499 nt
Filed under: metagenome
Description: bacterial SSU rRNA
Rfam family: Bacterial small subunit ribosomal RNA
Source: RNAcentral
AGAGUUUGAUCAUGGCUCAGGAUGAACGCUAGCUACAGGCUUAACACAUGCAAGUCGAGGGGAAACGAUAUUGGAAGCUUGCUUCCGAUAGGCGUCGACCGGCGCACGGGUGAGUAACGCGUAUCCAACCUGCCCACCACUUGGGGAUAACCUUGCGAAAGUAAGACUAGUACCCAAUGACGUCUCUAGAAGACAUCUGAAGGAGAUUAAAGAUUUAUCGGUGAUGGAUGGGGAUGCGUCUGAUUAGCUUGUUGGCGGGGUAACGGCCCACCAAGGCAACGAUCAGUAGGGGUUCUGAGAGGAAGGUCCCCCACAUUGGAACUGAGACACGGUCCAAACUCCUACGGGAUGCAGCAGUGAGGAAUAUUGGUCAAUGGGCGAGAGCCUGAACCAGCCAAGUAGCGUGCAGGAAGACGGCCCUAUGGGUUGUAAACUGCUUUUAUAAGGGAAUAAAGUUAGUCUCGUGAGACUUUUUGCAUGUACCUUAUGAAUAAGGACCGGCUAAUUCCGUGCCAGCAGCCGCGGUAAUACGGAAGGUCCGGGCGUUAUCCGGAUUUAUUGGGUUUAAAGGGAGCGUAGGCCGGAGAUUAAGCGUGUUGCGAAAUGUAGACGCUCAACGUCUGCACUGCAGCGCGAACUGGUUUCCUUGAGUACGCACAAAGUGGGCGGAAUUCGUGGUGUAGCGGUGAAAUGCUUAGAUAUCACGAAGAACUCCGAUUGCGAAGGCAGCUCACUGGAGCGCAACUGACGCUGAAGCUCGAAAAUGCGGGUAUCGAACAGGAUUAGAUACCCUGGUAGUCCGCACGGUAAACGAUGGAUGCCCGCUGUUGGUCUGAACAGGUCAGCGGCCAAGCGAAAGCAUUAAGCAUCCCACCUGGGGAGUACGCCGGCAACGGUGAAACUCAAAGGAAUUGACGGGGGCCCGCACAAGCGGAGGAACAUGUGGUUUAAUUCGAAGCAACGCGAAGAACCUUACCAAGUCUUGACAUCCGCCUGACCGAUCCUUAACCGGAUCUUUCCUUCGGGACAGGCGAGACAGGUGGUGCAUGGUUGUCGUCAGCUCGUGUCGUGAGAUGUUGGGUUAAGUCCCGCAACGAGCGCAACCCCUAUCCUCAGUAGCCAGCAUUUAAGGUGGGCACUCUGGGGAGACUGCCAGGGAUAACCUGGAGGAAGGCGGGGAUGACGUCAAAUCAUCAUGCCCCUUAUGAUUUGGGCUACACACGUGCUACAAUGGCGUAAACAAAGGGAAGCGAGAUCGUGAGAUGGAGCAAAUCCCAAAAAUAACGUCCCAGUUCGGACUGUAGUCUGCAACCCGACUACACGAAGCUGGAAUCGCUAGUAAUCGCGGAUCAGAAUGCCGCGGUGAAUACGUUCCCGGGUCUUGUACACACCGCCCGUCACACCAUGGGAGUCAGUAACGCCCAAAGUCAGUGACCUAACUGCAAAGAAGGAGCUGCCGAAGGCGGGACCGAUGACUGGGGUGAAGUCGUAACAAGGUA